This 807-nucleotide ribosomal RNA is filed under the name uncultured bacterium. RNAcentral's name for it is "bacterial SSU rRNA". It matches the Rfam family "Bacterial small subunit ribosomal RNA", at positions 76 to 881 of the family's 1533-position model. The record is from RNAcentral.
GGGGNAACCCCUCGAGAGUGGCGAACGGGUGAGUAAUAUAUCGGAACGUGCCCAGUCGUGGGGGAUAACGUAGCGAAAGUUACGCUAAUACCGCAUACGAUCUACGGAUGAAAGCGGGGGAUCGCAAGACCUCGCGCGAUUGGAGCGGCCGAUAUCAGAUUAGGUAGUUGGUGGGGUAAAGGCUCACCAAGCCAACGAUCUGUAGCUGGUCUGAGAGGACGACCAGCCACACUGGAACUGAGACACGGUCCAGACUCCUACGGGAGGCAGCAGUGGGGAAUUUUGGACAAUGGACGCAAGUCUGAUCCAGCCAUUCCGCGUGCAGGAUGAAGGCCCUCGGGUUGUAAACUGCUUUUGUACGGAACGAAAAGGUUUCUAUUAAUACUAGGAGCUCAUGACGGUACCGUAAGAAUAAGCACCGGCUAACUACGUGCCAGCAGCCGCGGUAAUACGUAGGGUGCAAGCGUUAAUCGGAAUUACUGGGCGUAAAGCGUGCGCAGGCGGUUAUGUAAGACAGAGGUGAAAUCCCCGGGCUCAACCUGGGAACUGCCUUUGUGACUGCAUAGCUAGAGUACGGUAGAGGGGGAUGGAAUUCCGCGUGUAGCAGUGAAAUGCGUAGAUAUGCGGAGGAACACCGAUGGCGAAGGCAAUCCCCUGGACCUGUACUGACGCUCAUGCACGAAAGCGUGGGGAGCNAAACAGGAUUANAUACCCUGGUAGUCCACGCCCUNAACGAUGUCAACUGGUUGUUGGGUCUUCACUGACUCNGUNACNAAGCUANNGCGUGAANUUGACCGCCUGGGGANU